UCUGUGGUAGAGACAUACAGAGACGUAACUAGUGUACCCACUUUUUUUGUGCGCAUGCUCGGCAAGUUACUAGAUGCAUGCAUCUGAUUGGAUGACGACCUGAUGACGACUCACUUUAAACUUGCUGAGCACGCGCAGUGAUCAUUUUUUGCCCGGUCGCCUGAAAAAAAGUGGGUACAUGAUAACGUAAUCUUCCGCAGUG
This is a non-coding RNA of Paramuricea clavata, 202 nucleotides long. The record is from the annotation of a GenBank genome assembly. Lineage: Eukaryota; Metazoa; Cnidaria; Anthozoa; Malacalcyonacea; Plexauridae.